Molecule: ribosomal RNA, 253 nt
Filed under: uncultured bacterium
Lineage: Bacteria
Description: partial 16S ribosomal RNA
Rfam family: Bacterial small subunit ribosomal RNA
Source: RNAcentral
UACGUAGGGGGCAAGCGUUGUUCGGAAUUAUUGGGCGUAAAGAGCGUGUAGGCGGUUUGGUAGGUCCGUUGUGAAAACUCGAGGCUCAACCUCGAGACGCCGAUGGAAACCAUCAGACUAGAGUCCGGAAGAGGAGAGUGGAAUUCCUGGUGUAGCGGUGAAAUGCGCAGAUAUCAGGAAGAACACCCGUGGCUAAGGCGGCUCUCUAGUACGGUACUGACGCUGAGACGCGAAAGCGUGGGGAGCGAACAGG